RNAcentral lists this ribosomal RNA (829 nucleotides) under Micrococcaceae bacterium ACEMC 22-9. RNAcentral describes it as "bacterial SSU rRNA". It matches the Rfam family "Bacterial small subunit ribosomal RNA", at positions 45 to 876 of the family's 1533-position model. Lineage: Bacteria; Bacillati; Actinomycetota; Actinomycetes; Micrococcales; Micrococcaceae. The record is from RNAcentral.
UGCUUAACACAUGCAAGUCGAACGCUGAAGCUUGGGUGCUUGCAUCUGGGUGGAUGAGUGGCGAACGGGUGAGUAAUACGUGAGUAACCUGCCCUUGACUCUGGGAUAAGCCUGGGAAACUGGGUCUAAUACUGGAUACUACACUCUCUCGCAUGGGGGUGUGUGGAAAGGGUUUUACUGGUUUUGGAUGGGCUCACGGCCUAUCAGCUUGUUGGUGGGGUAAUGGCCUACCAAGGCGACGACGGGUAGCCGGCCUGAGAGGGUGACCGGCCACACUGGGACUGAGACACGGCCCAGACUCCUACGGGAGGCAGCAGUGGGGAAUAUUGCACAAUGGGCGAAAGCCUGAUGCAGCGACGCCGCGUGAGGGAUGACGGCCUUCGGGUUGUAAACCUCUUUCAGCACGGAAGAAGCGAAAGUGACGGUACGUGCAGAAGAAGCGCCGGCUAACUACGUGCCAGCAGCCGCGGUAAUACGUAGGGCGCAAGCGUUGUCCGGAAUUAUUGGGCGUAAAGAGCUCGUAGGCGGUUUGUCGCGUCUGCUGUGAAAGCCCGGGGCUUAACCCCGUGGUGUGCAGUGGGUACGGGCAGACUAGAGUGCAGUAGGGGAGACUGGAAUUCCUGGUGUAGCGGUGAAAUGCGCAGAUAUCAGGAGGAACACCGAUGGCGAAGGCAGGUCUCUGGGCUGUUACUGACGCUGAGGAGCGAAAGCAUGGGGAGCGAACAGGAUUAGAUACCCUGGUAGUCCAUGCCGUAAACGUUGGGCACUAGGUGUGGGGGACAUUCCACGUUUUCCGCGCCGUAGCUAACGCAUUAAGUGCCCCGCCUGG